GAGAGUUGGGUUCAGAACGUCGUGAGACAGUUCGGUCCCUAUCUGUUGUGGGCGGAGGAGAGUUGAGAGGGGCUUUCACUAGUACGAGAGGACUGUGAAGGACGGACCUCUAGUGUGCCGGUUGUCGUGCCAACGGCAGCGCCGGGUAGCUAUGUCCGGUAGCGAUAAUCGCUGAAAGCAUCUAAGCGAGAAGCGUGCCUCAAGAUAAGCUCUCCCGUAGCAGUAUGCUACCUAAAGACCACUCGUAGACCACGAGUUUGAUAGGCUGGGUGUGGAAGGCGUGUGAGCGCUGUAGCUAACCAGUACUAAUCGGUCGUGCGGUUUAACAUC
This 330-nucleotide ribosomal RNA is filed under the name Nitrospira sp. Its description in RNAcentral is "partial 23S ribosomal RNA". It matches the Rfam family "Bacterial large subunit ribosomal RNA", at positions 2600 to 2925 of the family's 2925-position model. The record is from RNAcentral. Lineage: Bacteria; Pseudomonadati; Nitrospirota; Nitrospiria; Nitrospirales; Nitrospiraceae.